UAGCCAAGUGGAUCAAGGCAG
RNAcentral lists this transfer RNA (21 nucleotides) under Cussonia spicata. Its description in RNAcentral is "partial tRNA-His". The record is from RNAcentral. RNAcentral also lists the same sequence under 2 other names. Lineage: Eukaryota; Viridiplantae; Streptophyta; Magnoliopsida; Apiales; Araliaceae.